Molecule: ribosomal RNA, 641 nt
Filed under: Staphylococcus cohnii
Lineage: Bacteria; Bacillati; Bacillota; Bacilli; Caryophanales; Staphylococcaceae
Description: partial 23S ribosomal RNA
Rfam family: Bacterial large subunit ribosomal RNA
Source: RNAcentral
UGAUGCAAGGUUAAGCAGUGAAUGUGGAGCCGUAGCGAAAGCGAGUCUGAAUAGGGCGUUGAGUAUUUGGUCGUAGACCCGAAACCAGGUGAUCUACCCUUGACCAGGUUGAAGUUCAGGUAACACUGAAUGGAGGACCGAACCGACUUACGUUGAAAAGUGAGCGGAUGAGUUGAGGGUAGCGGAGAAAUUCCAAUCGAACCUGGAGAUAGCUGGUUCUCUCCGAAAUAGCUUUAGGGCUAGCCUCAAGUGAUGAUUAUUGGAGGUAGAGCACUGUUUGGACGAGGGGCCCUUAUCGGGUUACCGAAUUCAGACAAACUCCGAAUGCCAAUCAAUUUAACUUGGGAGUCAGAACGCGGGUGAUAAGGUCCGUGUUCGAAAGGGAAACAGCCCAGACCACCAGCUAAGGUCCCAAAAUAUAUGUUAAGUGGAAAAGGAUGUGGCGUUGCCCAGACAACUAGUAUGUUGGCUUAGAAGCAGCCAUCAUUUAAAGAGUGCGUAAUAGCUCACUAGUCGAGUGACACUGCGCCGAAAAUGUACCGGGGCUAAACAUAUUACCGAAGCUGUGGAUUGUCCGUAGGACAAUGGUAGGAGAGCGUUCUAAGGGCGUUGAAGCAUGAUCGUAAGGACAUGUGGAGCGC